CCAAGGGAAAGACAAAUCAAUAAAACCUUUCUCUUUAGGUCCAGUGCUUGGAGUGAUGGUGAAGGGCAGGACAGCCACAGGGAGAUAGUUCUGGAUGUAUCAGCAGUGAUUAGGAACUUGGAACUGUUUCUAAUGAGUUGGUCUUGCUGUCUCACCAAGAGUUGGCCUGAGGCCCGAUUCUCACUUCUGGUUGGGCCAUUUCUGGACCUCUUCUCAGAACUACCUUCAGAAUCUUACCCAUAGUAGGUGCUUGAUAAGUGUUCUGUAGUAGACUCCAAGGUGUACAAAACUUUAUACAGACUUAUUAUAUUCGAGUUAUUGGUUGAAUUGUGCUCCCCUCAAAUUCAUAUGUUGUUGUCCCAAUGCCCAGUACCUCAGAAUGUGACCUUACUUUGAGACAGGAUCUUUACAGGGCCAACAGGUUAAUGUGAGGUCCUUAGGGUCAGCCGUUAUCCAAUAUGACUCCUGUCUUUAAAAAAAGGGAGGAAUUUGGAUACAGAGACACUCAUUUUUUUUGAGAGAAGAUGAUGUGAAGAGAUAUGAAGAAGAUAGUGAUUUACUAACCAAGGAGAGAGCCUGAAGCAGAUGCCUCCCUCAGAGUCUGCAGAAGGAACCAUCCCCGCUAACUCCUUGAUUUUGGAGUUCUAGUCUCCAGAACUAUGAGACACUAACUUUUUGUUGUUUUAGCCACCGAGUUUGUGGUACUUUGUUAUGGCAGCCCAAGGAAACUAGAACAAUUAGGUAAUGCUCAAGGCAAACCCAAGAAAGAAUGGAUGAUUACUUGAUCCAGUUUCACUGAAGAAUCAGGAAACCCAGGUUGAAGGAUAUGUCCAGGUGAGCUGCAUUUCAACCCAAGCCUGCUGACUGCAAGGUGUCCUUCCUCCAGGUUCCCAAGGCUCUCUGGGUGUCUCUAUCAUCAUAUUUCAAUUCAAUGUUUUCAUUGCUGGGCACUAUGUUGGCAAAUAUGGGAUCUCUGUGUUCUUAGAGCCAGCAUAGCGCACGUUUCAUAGGAAUUACGUGUUAAUUUUCAAAGAAAAUAAGUGCAUAAGGGAAUGAAUGAGUACAGGUAGGAGAGUGAAUGAGUGAGUCUUGAUUAAAAUUCAUGUUGCAAGUGACAGAUACAAUCUUGAGCUAAUGUAAGACAAAAGAUAACAAAGAAGGCUGAGGACCCAAGAGUGGCUCACAGAGCCCAAGGACAGGGGACAGCCAGAACAUGGAACGGGCAGAUCCAGGGACUGGAGAGCUACCAGGACUGAGUCUCUCAUUCUUUCUCCCUGUACAUGCAUGCAUUCAUUCUCUCAACAAACAUUUAUGGAGGCUCUACCUUGUACCAGACACACUUCUAGAAUGUGAUGAUACAGCCAUGAAUAAAAAGGCAACAGUCCCUUUUCUUGUGAAGCUGGGACCCUGUGGUGGAGAAGAGCAGUUCUGAAUUUCUGGAGUUGGGACAUUAUCAUUCUACCACACGUCAUGUCUGAGUGUCCCUGUGAAUACCAUUCUGAGAAUCUGAUUGUAAUAUCAUGGCCAAGGUGUCCACCUGCUACAAUCAACUGUGGCUGGGCUUGAAUAGGGCUUUCAGGGGUCCACCCUUUGUGAGGGAAGAGAUCUCAAGGCAGGUAAGCUGGGCAGAUAUCAAAAUGUUUCUACUACAGUGAACGAAAAAAUACAUGAAUGCGUAGAUAAGCAAAUGGAUUUACUCAAUCAUUUCUUUACAUGUGUGAUGAGUAUUUACUUUGGGUCAAUUACCGUCCUCACUGCUGUAGAUUCAACAGUGAACAACUCAAGUCCCUGCUUCCAUGGAGCUUAUUUUCUAGCUGGAGUAGGGGUGGGGCAGACAAUCCUGCCCUUAACUGAGAAGUGUCCUGCUUGAAUUACUUCCGAAGGCCUCUCUGUCCUCCCAGGUCAUGUCCAACACCAGGGCUGCCCUUCUUCUUUGAUCCAGUGUGGGAACUGACCAGUGGGAGCGUCUUAUCAUCCAAGCUAUGUUACCUGGUCCUCUAGGAUCCCUUCAUACUGGCCCAGCAGAAGCCUGGGGACCCUGGUUCAGCACAGUAGCAUGCCUCCUUUCUGUUUGCUUGGUGCCCAAGCCAGUCAGCUUCCUGGAAACCCUGCCCUUGGGCACUGUCACUAGUUCCCAUAGGAACCUCAAGGAGCUAAACUGUGUUCUGACCGUCCAUUCUCCUCUCUGGGCCAUUGUGGAGCCCACUGGUCUGUCAGCCCUCUAUUCAACAGCUGAGGCGGCCAUCUAUCCCUUAGCAGGUCUGGCAAGAGCCAGUCGAGACUCUUGAAGAGUAGAUGAUGUCCAUGGUGGCAGUGGCAGUAACCAUGUAGGCAAAUACCUGUGUCCAUAUGGGCUCAGGCAGGGGCUACUCAGGGCAGACAGUGCUCUCCUGGAGCUGUCCUUACUUGGCUGCUCCUGGGAACUGCAGCCACAGAGGAAUUUCUCCCAAGGGGGGCACAAAGAGAACAUGUAGAUAGGUAAUAAUGCAGCCACACAGGCCAUCACCAGAUGUGUGGGCUCUGCUGACAGGGAAGCUACACCCGCGAUAGGAGGGAGGACACGGGAAAGAUUGGGCUGUUUGGGGCUAUUUGGAUCCCAAAGUUGUGAGUCCCCUUUCAUAGUUCCUACUGGAUUUCAACCCUAUUUAAUGCAGUGAGUUUGUUAAGCCUACAAAAUGCUUGUCCUUCACAGGCAUUAAUAUUAUUCUAAAUUCAUGCAAAAGUGUGAGUUAGCUGUGGUCUCUGUCUGUGCUAGUCCUCAUUCUAGGAUUAUAAUAACUCACUUGAGUAAUAUCAGUAUCAUCAUCAUCCCCAAUUUAUAGGUGAGGAAACUGAGGCAUAGAGCGAGUAUUCAAAGUGUGUGGCAGAGCUGGGAUGUGAAUCUAGGUAACUUGGCAACAGAGCCCAUAUGCUGAACUGCCCCAAAUUGUCACUUGUCAUCUGGCCUGAAAGAUUAGCUUAAGCUAAUCACGUGUGGUGUUCUAAUCCCUGACACUGCCAAUAACAGAGGUAUUGAAUAAAUGAAAAUCUCAGACAGUAUUAUAAGCAAAGAAAAACUUGGCUGCAAUAUCUGUCAGGCCAGCAGAAGGUAAGAGGUGAUUCAGUACCAGGAGUGUGUUAGUUAUGUAAAUAGAAAUGAUCUACUUCCUGGGUCUACCAAUCAUCUAAUGACCAUCCGUGUCAUGAGAAUGUCACUGGAGGAAACUUUAGGGGCUCCUUUGUCAAAUCCUAGCUCAGAAAUGUGACAACUACAUCAACAAAAGGUCACAAUUUCCCCAAUUCAGGAAAUAAUCUAGAGUCAUCAGUACAAAUUGCCUGAACAGACUGGGCUUUGGCUGUCUCUCUGUGGCUGAUAUAACAAUUCCCGUCUUGGCUACUCUGCUAAUAAUCACCUUUCCUCCUUCUCUGAAAAGAGAGGAAGCCUCAAGUCUCUCCAACACCCUGCCUCCUAUGUUCUGCACCCUCUCCCCACAGGGAUCAGUGCUAACAGAGCUGGCUGGGGAGGCACGGUCUCUCACUCAACCUGCAGGUUGCUCCUUCCUCUGUCACUUCACACACCUGGGUGAGGCAUUCCUAUGUGUCAGGCUCUGUGCUGGGUACUGGGGCACAGGAAGGGGGACGACAUCUUCAGCCCCAAGGAGCUCACAGUAUGGGGGUUUGGGGAUGAGAGCUGGGAGGCAAACAGACUCUGUUCAGUGGCACAACUCAAAUGUCAGUGCUCCUUACCUGGGGCCAUCCUGGAAACCUUCUCACUCAUGUGUGCUAGUGACCUGUCAGGGUUUUAUGAAUGAAAUCACCAGUCUGGAAAAUUGCUCAGUCUCAUGCACAUCGAGCUCAUUGUCCCCCUACACCUGACAUCAACCCUCAGAUCAGCAAGUGAGCUCUUUUCCUGUGACAUGACACCUUCUUAGAUUUCUGAUUAUCUUCUCCACAGACUGUGAACCCCACAGGGCAGGGACACAUAGAGUGACAUCUGUGUUCCCAGUUAGGCUCAGGGCCAGGCAGAGGGGUUGGGGUUGAGUGACUGGGGCAAGGAGGCAUCUAGAAGCCUUUUCUGUGAGAACAGCUGAGGCUGCUCAGCCUUGAGAGGGAGGAGAUUCAGGAAGGAACAGUCAUUGUCCUAAAGUGCAGGGCUGUCAGAUCAGCCUGCAAAUCUACCUAAGGAAGGUGUGUCUGGCAGACCAGAGAACACCGGCACAGGCUUCCUGUGAAGGAGUGAGCUUCCCGGACUGGGAUGAGGAGCAGAGACCUGAGAGGCAACAGAAAGGCAAAGGAGGGGGACAGUCAAUCUCGAAGGCAGCGGCGUGAAGCAAUUACUCCUGUGGGGCUGAAGACUUCAUCGUCAAGACCUCUCAAGAUUGGAGAGAGAGAACUGUGGACCCUUUCCUUCAGCUCUUGCCAGUGUUCUUAGGGAGACUCUGGUUCCUGGAGUGUUGAAUAAAUAUGCAUUCUGAUUUCAUC
This is a long non-coding RNA of Equus quagga, 4461 nucleotides long. RefSeq lists it as uncharacterized. The record is from RefSeq and is a predicted model, not a curated record. The transcript has 3 exons. NCBI's taxonomy places the organism in Eukaryota, Metazoa, Chordata, Mammalia, Perissodactyla, Equidae.